UACGAAGGGGGCUAGCGUUGCUCGGAAUCACUGGGCGUAAAGCGCACGUAGGCGGCUUCUUAAGUCAGGGGUGAAAUCCUGGAGCUCAACUCCAGAACUGCCUUUGAUACUGAGGAGCUUGAGUCCGGGAGAGGUGAGUGGAACUGCGAGUGUAGAGGUGAAAUUCGUAGAUAUUCGCAAGAACACCAGUGGCGAAGGCGGCCCACUGGCCCGGUACUGACGCUGAGGUGCGAAAGCGUGGGGAGCAAACAGG
RNAcentral lists this ribosomal RNA (253 nucleotides) under uncultured bacterium. Its description in RNAcentral is "partial 16S ribosomal RNA". It matches the Rfam family "Bacterial small subunit ribosomal RNA", at positions 524 to 776 of the family's 1533-position model. The record is from RNAcentral.